Styela clava is the source of this 7908-nucleotide non-coding RNA. The record is from RefSeq and is a predicted model, not a curated record. Lineage: Eukaryota; Metazoa; Chordata; Ascidiacea; Stolidobranchia; Styelidae.
UCCCGAUUCUAUAAUCAGUUACUUUUACUUUUUGUUUUUAUCUAUUUUUUUAUCGUCUAUUGCUGAUUAUGGAGUCGAAAUAAACUUAUCAUUAUUACAUAAAGUCGCUGGGAUAUUACCUAACAAUUCAUUUAUAGCUUGCUAACAUUUUCCGCAUUUAUUUUUAUUUAGCAAUGAUUUCAGUUUUGUCUCCUUAUUUGAUUAUGUUUUGCCCCAUACAUCAUUGUUAGCGUCCUGAUUACUAAUUUUAAUCUCUCUCCUCCCAUUCCACAUCAACACCGCCCUUUAUAAAAUAUCAGGGAUAACUUAACUAUAUGUGGGACAACCUCUAUUGUUGUGUAGUAUAUAACUUCACUAAAUCGUGAGAUAACCGCGACAGCGGAGCCUGUAGUGUCCACCUCGAUUAAAUCGACUAAACAGAUGGGGCAACAACAAAAUGAGUGUUAACGUCGUGACACUUUGAGGGCCCAUCUGUGCCGUCGAAUAUAUAAGUUGGCGAAUCGCCGCUUAACGGGGGGACAGAAAACUAAGACUGUAUAGGGAAAGAUCAAUAAUUUGGACGAACAUUUUUAAAUGCAUAGAAAAGGGAUUAUUAGUAUUGACGAAAUUCUCCGAAUUCAUAAAUUAGAUCCCAUUUUAGAUUAGGCAACAUAUGGAAACGAAAAAAUAACUGGAUCAAUAACGUCCAGGUGGUAAUUAGUAUUCAAAACUCCAAUUAAUAAGGCUAAUGGAAUCGAUAGCACCAUUCUAAUCCCCGGAAUAUAGAUUUAUAGAUCAAAUCCUCAUAGUAUUCUUUAAAAUUCUGAUUGUUACAAUCAUGGGAGAGACAUGAUUACCAUUGGUUUUCUGUAUAAGGGUCGCUUUCUCUGUAGUAUCAUCCAGUCUUGUACAUACGACCUUGACGUGUAUACUGUUCAAUAAACGAAAGAGGAAUUGGCGUUUGUCUGCUAUCAUUUAUUGUCUGCUGAGGGUGAGCGCAUACACAACCGAACAACGAGGUGACGAAUAAUUUGUGCAAGUCUAGAAGACAAGAGCCCGUGCUCCGAUUAAAGAGCUACGAAAGAUCUCGUACGCCGACUCAAGUUAUAUUUAGGACACCUAUCCUAAAUAAAAUGGUGACACCCGAUUAUUGGAUGCAACCUCCUCGGGGCAGUCAGAUCAGCAAGCAACAGCGCAUAUCAAAGAAAUCAAAAUCAGCACAAACGAUGGCACUACAAUGGCGAUAAUUAGAGCAUGGUAGAACAAAGGUACGGACAGGAAAAGAAUCAGACGACGGAUAAAGACAAACUCCACACAAUGAACGAUAUGAACUUUUAUUUGAUAUCAAAAAUACAAGGGGAAAAUUGUAUCAAACUAAAUUAAACUGACAACGUAAAACUACGAAAAAUCUUUAUAAAAGACAAGGCUGAAAUGCGUGUUUUUACCUAUUGUUACAAACAACAAAGCAAGAAUGAAUGACCAAAAAUCGAUGAACGUAAAAUUAUUAUCCAUUAGUUAGUUUGAUUUAGUUGCAUACUACUUUUUUCCUUCUGAGACAUUCGUUGUACUUCUUCUGUUCUAUAGUCUUUCUUUAGCUUCUUUGGCGAUACUAAUUAGGAUCUUAAUUUUUUAUGAAUAGCUCCAAAAAACAGACUUUGUGUGUUAACUCAAAUUGCAACUAAUCUUAUGGCCAAUUGAUUAUGCAAUGAAGGUGAAUAUUCGAUUUCAAAAUACUUGCGAUUUAAAAUAAUUAAACAUUGACGGAUGCUAACUAUUCCGAUUAGAUAAAUUAUUAACACUGAACUAUUUUUAAAAGAUGAUUCAAACGAGCCACUUUUUAAGCGUUUAUAACAUCGUCAUUAAAAAGGUGCAUAAAUGAGCUCAUCAAUAUAUUCGUCAAAAAACGAGUAUAUGACAAAUUUUUUUAACAAACAAAGCGCUAUUUUUUUAUUUUUUUUCAAAGCCCGAAGCUGGCAUUAUCAACAUAUCGCAACAAACGAACUUACAAAGCGCUAUUUUCACCCAACUAUGGUUAUUCAAAAAUAUGAGCGAUCAGUAAUUCAGUGUGACGAAGUAUAUUGAAUUGAAAGGUCAGUUUUAUCUGUCGAACCUAAAUUGAAAAAAAAUACUAAAACGCCUAUUUUUUUCUAAUCUCUAACUCUUACUCUCAUCCUACUUCCCUCUCAUUUUUAAAUAUUCUCGUCCCAUAUUUUUGAAUUUCAGUGUGUAUAUUUUUCAAUUGUGUUUUCUCCCUUUUUUAAUGUUUUAUAGUGAAUUUUUUAGGACGUAUAGGCACGAUAAUUAUGUCUCAAAACCCGGAAUUCCAUUCCAAAAGAAGGGAGUAUUUCAUAGGGAAAGAUUAGUAAUUUGGACGAACAUUUUUAAUGCAUAGAAAAGGCUGAUUAUCAGUACUGACGAAAUUCUCUGAAUUCAUAAAUUAGAUCGAUAAAAAAAGCCAUUUCAAAGCCUGUGGUGUCAACCCUAAUUAUACUGACUGAACAGAUGAUGCGACAACAUCAAGAGUGUUAACGAUUUGACACUUAUGACGCACCAUCUGUUCUGUCGAAUAUAUAAGCCGAUGAACUAGAAGAAAGAAAGGAAUGAGAGAAGACAUUGUUUAUUUUGUGUGUGAUUUGUAUGAGACUACUAUUAAUAAAUAUCUCAAGAACUUAAAACUGUGAUACUGUACACAAAGAGCUAAAGAAGUAUAUACACCGUACUACGACGUUUAUAAAGAAAGGAAGGAAGUAUAUUAUUAGGACCCCAGUACGGUCCCUGCAUUUGGUGACCCCAGACAAAAUGAACCGCUAUCGGAUUGGAGUUAGAUCGCAUGAUAUUGAUUGACAAUUUUUGAAUGGAGUAACUACUUAAAUAGCGAACAAGAUUAUUCGGUAAUAGAUAAAAAAAAAAGAAAUUGAGCGUUAUCAUCAAUUGUUUCUGAAAAGAAUUAAACAGAUCCAAGUAACAGCCUAAGAACAUUAAUUAAAGAAGCAGUAAUUUUUGGAUACGAAUAAUACAAAGACAACAGCAAGAAGAAUAUAUAUAUAUGCGUAUAGAACUGUUCAAUAACCGGUACGUCUAAUUCAAUCAUUAUUUUUCUUUGACCCUUUCGUUUAUUUUUAUUUGUAUAUAUUAUUAACUAUUAGCCAUAAAUAUGAACAAAUUUUCUUUUAAUAUUCUCACUCCUUCAAAAAGGCAACGUAAUAGAUUUUUGUUACGUGAACCAGAAUUGCCACAAGUGCAUUUUAUCAACCCCCGAGAUGGACGCAAUAGAUAUAUUGCUAGCAAAACAAUUUCAGAGCCCGUUUUAUCUAGAACCCAGUCCAUUCGAUGAAAUAUUCGAUAAUAAUUACCCGUAUCCCAUUCCAAACGACAUUAAAAAUAAUACUGCGAGAAAUGCGUUAGUUCCUGAACAACCGCAAACGUCUCAACGCGUUAAAGGAACAACAGAUAAUAAUCGUCCGGAAAUGGUUCCCCAGGUAUAUUCAUCGCCCUGCGUUAAUCCUGUGGAAACCAAUGCCGUUCCUGAAACAGUUUUACCUACACAUGAACACUGAAAGAAUUCUUCACAGGCAAAAUUCGAACGAUCAGCAUUCUCAGCCAUACGCUCCAGCCCAUAUGUUUCAAACACCGUUCGUAAUCACUGGCAUCAAACAACCAUUCGACUUCCUAGUUUUUGGGAACAUUCUUUCGACACGUGGGGUAAACGGGUCGAAAGCAUUCUGGACAAAAAUGAAAAAAAAGAACGUUGCGAUGAGGUUAUGACAGCGCUAAGUGACGAACAAACACAACAGGUUUCUUUAGACAUUUGUAAUGCAGAUCCAGAAAGGCCAUACACACAAUUGAAAGAAGCUCUUCUGGAUACGUUCACACCUUCCCAAGAACAGAUUGAAUGCAUUUUAACAGCAAUUUAGGAGACAAAAAAACAACGGAAUUACUUAAAAAAUGAAAUUUUUAUUUGGUAAUACCGAAGAUCCAAUUAUUAAUUCUUAAAAGAACAUUCAUUGAAAAACUGUCACCAUAUGUUCGGACAAUUUUAUCAAACAAUUUGAAUGAUUUCAUCGAAAAUGUAGCAAAACGUGCUGAUCAAAUUGUCAUCGGUGGAACCUGCAAACGAUAUGAAUCAACCGACGACUAAUCAAGUUAUUAAAAACAAAAUGCUCGAAAUUCCAAUUCAAAAUCUGACAAAUAAAAUUAAUAGUUUGACAACGAAAUUAGAACAGGCCGAGUCGCAACAGAAUCGUCAAAAUGGUCGUAGAAAUUACAGUAGACCGAAUAAAAUCAGCAAUUAUCCGAUGCCCUCCAACCCGAAUCUACUAUUGCCGUAUCAACCUCGCAGAUUUCCUAACAAUCACGAAUAUCGUCGCUAUCAGCGGAGGCAGAAUGAGACCGGGAAUUCUCUACGACCCCGAUUCUUUUCUUAACUUCUCCAGACUCCCGGAUAAUGGCAUCUGCAGUUACCAUGCUCGAUUUAUGAUCGGGCUUAUAGAUGUACGCAGUCAUGUAAUUUUCGGGGAAACGGACCAGCCGUAUACCAACGCCGUUAAACGUGUCCGGCUUAACAUCAACCCGAGGCCAAUUCUUUGUAUACGAUAAAUCAUUGCAAAAACAUUUAUUAGUUGAUUCUGGAGCAGAAAUUAGCCUCAAUUAACAGAUACGGCGACUUCGUUUUCUAUUAGAUGUUUCAUUAUGACUUUGUUCAUCUUCUUGACAUCUAUUAAAUACAUCAACACAGAGACUAUAGAAAUGCAUCUUUGCUACCCAGACAAACCUAUUAAAGAAUACGCAAUAGAACCAACUAAACCGUGCAUAAAACAUCCUCGGACAACAGUAUCGCAAUGUAAUGCUGAAAUACAACAACUAGGCUAGAACAAGAAUUACUGCAUACGUUUGUCAGGAAUCAACCACAAUCUGGCAGACCACAAGUUAUUUCUUCGAAGCCAAAGUUCAUAAUAUAGAAACCAAAUUCACCACCCAGUAAUUUACUUUGCUACAAUUGGAAAACCACAAAACAGGAUAGUCGGAUGAAAAAAUUCACAAAACAGAGCAAGAACCUUUGGACGACAUCCAAUGAAGAAAACCCGUUUAUACAUGGCCCACAUCCAGUACAGAAAAAGUUUCUAAUGCUUUACUUACCCGAAUUAGCUUAUAUUUUGACCAUGCCAAUGACAAACUAUCCGGACCCGUUCCCGCCUUGGAUACAUGCGACGUUGAACGUGGAUCUUGCACUAUUGGUACUCAGACUAUAGUAUGGGAAACCUCUCCACUAAUAGAUUGUUCAAAGACAAAAUUUACCACAGCACCAAUAACUUUUCAUAUCAACUCAAAUAAAAAGGUGUAUGAAAUUGAAAUCGCCUCACUCGGAAUAAAUCUGCACUCGUGGUCGACAUUUGGUGACUUCACACAAAGAUGUUUCAACUGCGAAAGAAUGUAUUGCUCCAACGCAGGAAUACUCUUUGCUGCAAAGAACUGCACGCUAUCGACCACACAAAAUUACAAUUAACAUCCUUAAACGCUAUGUUUUCCAACCCGACUGAUGACGUCUCCCUUGCUAAUUAAGCCGAACGAAACGCGGACGCAGUGGCAGACGUAUUCAAUAAAUUAACUGUAGAUUUGCAAUAUUAACUGUAGAUUUGCAAUAUUUAGAGUGCCAAUUAAAAAAUUCUUUGGCAAACAAUUAUCGAACCCUAGCAAGACAAUACCCCGGCGCAGUUCUUCAGGCAAUAUUACGAGGAAACAGGGCAGCGAUUACAAGCGGCGAUCUUCUGCUAGAGAUAGCAUGUGAAAAAAUGAACAUAAGGCUUGUUCCACAUUUACACUACGAUAGUCUGUUCGCAACUAAACCAACCGUUGGUUAAAUACACUGAUGAGAAAAAUAAUGAACGCAUCGCUCAAGUAUUUUCAGACGGGAAAGCAUACUCUGGCGCCAAUUUUUGGGGAACGGUAGUGACUAUUAAGGUUAUCUGGCGUUUGUUCCCUAUUUUAAAACACAAGUUGUCAAAUACGUCAACGAACAAACGACAAGGAGACGCCAGUAGAAAACGCACUUCACCACAUAUGAUACCAGAAUAUAUAUGACAGAUGCCAAAACCGAAGCGGCUAUACCAAGGCACACCGCAUAUUCCGUACGUACACUCAGAAUACCUAUAAUAUAUAGCACUUUUAUUUUCUUCUGUAAUGAUGUAUAAUUGUUUGCUAAUCAUUUUUUUUUUCAUUUUGCUGUUAUAUUCAUAUUUAUACUGCGUACAUAAUAGCUCAUAUUCACUACAUUUACAUUUUAUUAUAUAUAUAUACAAUUGUUGCUUAUAAUAUUUAAAGGUAUGUAAACGCAUGCGUAGUAAUUAUAUCGUAUAUACUUUAUUAAUCACUUUCAUUCGAUUCUAGUUUUCCCUCAUUUCAUCUCAUUCAUUAAUUAUUUCCGUCCGUCUCGAUGUCUCACUAUUGUUUGUUAAGUUUAAUCAUUUAUUUCCAUAUUUUGCGAUUUAUUGCUUGACACUACAGCCUCCCACCUCCCAACUCAUAUCUACAUCGCCUUUUAUAAAAUCUCAGGGGUAACUUAUGCUGGUAUCAUUGGGCCACCUUCGAUUGUCGGGUAGUAUAUAUACCCCCCCCCCCCCCAAAUUAUUAUCACCACAUUAAUUCAGCUUCCAUCCGCACCCUAAAUCAGAAUAGUGAAAAACCCAGCUGCGGAGCCUGUGGUGUCAACCCUAAUUAUACCGGCUGAACAGAUGAUGCGACAACAUCAAGAGUGUUAGUAAAUAUCUCAAGAACUUAAAACUGUGAUACUGUACACAAAGAGCUAAAGAAGUAUAUAUAGCACAUCGUACUACGACGUUUAUAAAGAAAGGAAGGAAGUAUAUUAAUAGGACCCCAGUACGGUCCCUGCACGCUAUUGUGGCUUGAAGGCAAAGACGACACGAACCACUGAAGAUAUGAAUGUCUGGGCUGAACACGCCACUGACCUAUAUGGACGUUCGCCGGCAAGGUCGCAACAGAAAACACGUGUAACUACAGACUUAUGGGUAACUGUGGUCGGAGUCUGCGCAAAUGGCUGAUACAUUCGGAACACAAAUAAUGAAUUAUUCCAUUAUCUAAUUGCAGGUUAUUUUUUGUGAAUCGAGGAUGCUGCGCAAUCUGAAAGGUAUGAGAGAUGGCAUGUAUGUUUGGAAAAUAGGGUUCAAAAUACACGUUCACCGCUCAACCAUUGUGUAACACUGUAGGUCAUGAGUGGCUAUCCACCAACCAUGUUAUUUCAAUGUCUCUGUUACAUGCAGAAAUUUUACUUUAGUGAAUUAACCCAUUAAUUUUAGUUAUUCUGGUCCCGAUAAUCACGUUUAGACUUGCUCUCGUUUAUUUAUUUGUUUGUUUAUUAAGAGCUCCUGACCGAAAGAAAAUUUUGGCAAUGAUGGUGCAAUACUCUCUUAUAUCAGCUGAUUUGUAUUCAUGCCCUUGUUGUUCUUAUUGUAUCAUACUGGGUGUACUAUUUAUUAGUGUCGGAGACAGUGCAAUGAGGCUUGGUCACAUGAGUAUCUUUGUUAGAAGCUGCGAUUACUCUGCGGCAUUGAUUUUCAAAUUGUAGGGUUUUAAUUCUGUUAAUUGAGGCUUGCUUAAGAUAUUUAGGGAAGUUUAGGAUUAUUUGAUAAUUGGAAUUUAGGUUCUGAUUGAGUUGUAUAUUUGAGGCUAAUUAUACUAUUUCUUUGUUUUUGUGUCUUGUAGCUAAAUUCAAGUACUGUUGUUGGGCUGGAGACACAAAUAUAUUGUAACCACCAUACUCACGUAUACACUACCGUGGACACACUGCUCAUACAAACAUCAUAGAGAUAAUAUUUACUGUGUUACACUGUUAUUUAUCUACUGUGGAGCUUUUACCUGAUUGUGGAAUUUUACUGGACUGUGACUUGUAUAUAUACUGUACAUAUACUUUCAUUA